AUUCCUACGGGAGGCAGCAGUGAGGAAUUUUGCGCAAUGGGGGAAACCCUGACGCAGCAACGCCGCGUGAGUGAUGAAGGCCUUCGGGUCGUAAAGCUCUGUCAAGUGGGAAGAACCUGCCUGAUGAUAAUACCAUCGGGCACCGACGGUACCACUGAAGGAAGCACCGGCUAACUCCGUGCCAGCAGCCGCGGUAAUAAU
This 201-nucleotide ribosomal RNA is filed under the name uncultured bacterium. Its description in RNAcentral is "partial 16S ribosomal RNA". It matches the Rfam family "Bacterial small subunit ribosomal RNA", at positions 335 to 526 of the family's 1533-position model. The record is from RNAcentral.